CGGAAGUCUACUGGACGAAUGCGGGAACGUUGCGAUAUUUCCUGCUUAAUAUUUUCAGAUAUGGGAAAAGCACUUAAGAUGAGCACACGUUUCAGGAACGUUAAAAUUAAGUUGGUGAGGAGGUCUAUUGCGGGCCCUGCGAAGUUUUCUUACCUCAGAUAAGGUCUUCCCCAGCCCAGCUACAAACAGACCCACCCUUCAGACCCUUCUAUUACAUCUCAACCUGCUGAACCUGAUGAUGUGACACAGAGCUGUUCUGAGAGUGCAUACAGUAAGGCAAAGGAGAGAGAGCUUCAUGCCUGGGAUGCAGUCAAGGAUGAGAUGCUUAAGAAUGUUUACUAUGAGCCAUCCUCCCUGGGGUUAUUCUUAUAUUUACCUGAAGCCCAUGGCACCCAUGCUGUGUACACAAAGGACAUGAAGGUCAUUGUCAGCACAGGACAGCUCUGCACCAUUACAGUCACCAUGUGUGCGUGUGAACCAGAAACCUGUACUCUUCUGAGAUAUGGGCUCUGACCAGCAACAGCCACAAGCCCCAGACAGACAGCCUUCUCCAUCCCUCUGCUAGAGCUUUCUGUUUCUCUGUCACUGGAGUGUCAGGUUUCUGUUGAGGGUUUUUGCAACACCCCAUAUCCCAUUUUAGGCAUCACCACUUCCGACAAAGAAGUUUGGUUGAUAUUUGCCCACAAUUAAAUGAUGGAACCAUAUGCCCAGCAUGUCCAAAGGCGGAUGGAGAUAUGAUUGUCACAUUGGAUGCCAACUUUGGCCUUGUGAGGAAUCAAAGCUCUGGGACAAGUGCGGUUGAUCCAUUACACAGAACCCGCAUGUUUAGAGGAAUACCUGCUAUCACAUCUUGACAGCUCAAAGCCUCAAGAGGACUGCAGUAAGCUGCUCUCAUUCAAGGUCUUCAACAGCUGGAAAGAAAAUGACAUCAAGCCACUGUGAUGUUUCACCCACAUGUACAAGACAUUAUAGACAUAUAAUAUAAUAUAAUAUAAUAAUUACUUUACUGCAUUACUUGUGCGGACAUGUUGUUUUACUAGGUCUGAUCUAUUUUAAAGCUUAGGCACUGUAUUUAAGCAUACAUAUCCCACUAGUCUGUCUGUAUGAGUACAAAAUUGUAAAAAUAAACUGUCUAUAAUUGUUACUGUACAAGCACAGUAAAAUAUUUAUAUAAAAAAUAUUGCACUACUGUUAUUUUGCAUAGAAUACAUUGUUCAACAAUAUUUUUGCACAUUCAUCCAACUGCAUUUAUUACCACUGUUCUCACGUUCCUGCUG
Molecule: long non-coding RNA, 1277 nt
Organism: Carassius auratus (goldfish)
Lineage: Eukaryota; Metazoa; Chordata; Actinopteri; Cypriniformes; Cyprinidae
Exons: 6
Source: RefSeq, a predicted model, not a curated record